UUGAAGUAAAAACUAGAGGGGUUGUUUAGCCCAAAUGAAAAAAAUAAGAAGGGAGUUAGCUGUGUUAGUUUCAUUAGUUAGUUAAUUAGCAAGAUUCCAAGUUAUUUAGUUCCUGGUUAGCAUGUUAGUCAGUUAACAGUCAGCUAGCAGGUGAGAUAAACUUGCAGAGGAUAAGGCGUAGCAGGUAAGCUAUGGUUUGAUAGGAGGCUGCGUAGGGGCUAAGUGAACUAGACUAGGAAUAAUGGCUGGGAGCUUCACGGUGGCUGUGUAGGAGCCACUACAGAGCAGUCUAACUGCUAGAGGUACUGGAGUGUAAACUAGGGGUCAGGUAGACUGACUGAGAGAUAAGAAGGUUCAGCCGUAUAUGCCAUAUAAGACACUUCAAGCUCAGUUAGUCAUACCCCUUCACAAGCUCCAAAGUAUAAUAGCUAUAAGGAUAGAGGAUAGAGCAGUAAGAAUUCGGCUGAGAAGGAGAAAGGACUAAGCAGCACAUCUCUAUAAUCUCUAAGCUAGCAAGGUAAUUCCAUUUCUAACUCCUUCCCUUCUUUUUCUAUUCCAUUACUAUCAAGCACAAACAGAACUGCCCUGGGCCAAAUGGCUUUGUUAGUAUACCUUGUAUUAAUUGUGAUUUUUAUAAUGAGUAUUAUGUGCAAGAUGGUGGUGUUUGAUAUAUUUGUCAUUAUGCUUGAUUUAUAGGACGAUCAUGGUUGUUUUAAAGCCAUAAGGCUGGGAUCACUAAGCUAAUAAUAUAAGUAAUGUAUGAAGAUAUGUAGACUGCCCACCAUCUGUUUGAUAAAGUGAUUCAAUAGAGGACUGAACUUCAAACUGUUAGUGAAUGAUUACUAAAUAGUAAAAACAACAACAUUGAUUUACUAUACAAUGUUAGUUUUGUUAAUGUUCUGGUUAUGUGAUUGAUAAUGCUUAAUAUGGCUGAGUGUAGCAUUAUAAUGAUUCUUGAUUAAGCCAUUUAAACCAAACAAGCCUUAUACAUUUAGGCUGAGUUAUUAAACGAUUGAAUAUGAACUGGAAUUUCAUUUACUAGCAGGAACCAUUGGGAAUUAAAUAAGAAACCGAAACAAAGGUAAUUUCUAUCUUAUUUUAAGUCACGUAAUUAGCCUAGUACUUGAUCUAAGAAGACAAGUGCUUGAUUACUAUUGACUGUUGUUUUCAAACUGUUAGUAUAGCUAUAUUAGAAUACUAACUGAAAAAUGGAGCAGUAAAUAUUUAAGAUUUCAUGAAAUUAGAGCUUUAUAGUUAUGUUCAUAAAGAUAUCUGUUAUGUGAUAAAUGUGUUCCUUGGCUGAGAAUUAUAAACUAGACUAAAACUGCUAUAAUGGCAAAACAGUAUGGCUGGGAAGGGAGUCCAAAAUGGUGGUUAAAUUCUAACAUAAAAUGUAGCUAUGCUUCAAGUAAACUCUCUGCCUAUGUAUACCAUGUAUUGGUGUAACACUUGAGCAAAACAAAGUAAAAAGGGACUGAAAUGGUAAGCUCUUUGCUAACUGUUAUUACAGGCUUGACUAGUAAUGACUAUAACUUGUUUCUAAUAUGGUUAGUAUACUAUAACAUGUAUCUAUAACUCCAAACAACUAAUGCUAACCCUUGUUAAGUUUAAAUAUGUUAGUUUUCAAUAAACAAAAAUCAGUCCUUGUGACUGUUAUUGGAAGUUUUCUUAUGAUGAUCAUGCCUUGAUUCUAAUAUAUUUAUUACAUGCAGUCCUUGUUUCCAUGUUGCCUAAUCAUGUUACCUUUGUACUUAGAUGUUUUUCAAAUCAUAUUACCUUGUAUUAAUUUAAGGCUUAUGAGGGGCUGUUUUGAACCAAAACUAGAAGCCUUUUCUGUAGGCUCUUUAAAUCAUGAACAUAUAUUAUAUAGCAUGUACAUGAUGUGAUAACCCUUGUGUUGAAAACUUAAAGACUGUUUUGAUGACCUAGUGCUGAACUUUACCUAAAAGGCCUGGAAUAAGCAUGAAUGACUGUUAUUAGGACUUUAGUUGCUAUACUAACUGUUAUUGUAUUAAAUGGAUUGGUAUGAUGUUGCAAUACUAUUAUGGACUGAAUUUAGGCACAAGGAGAUAGGAUGGGCUGAGAAGUAAUAAGGAGAACAAAAUGGGUUUAUGACAUAAAUAAAUGGCUGUGAAACUGGUAGCUUAAAACCAUGCCCACCAAUUGUUUGAUAAAAGUUCUAAAAGAACUGUUUUGGUAAAAAGAACUGAGUAUUAGAACAAGUAAGGCAUUGACUUGAUUUACCUGACAUAUGUGAUGAUUGAAGUGAUUUGGUAUGGUAAACUUUAGCAUGGUGCAGUUUUUACUAACUUUAGUAGUAAAAAGUACUAGCUUGACAAAUCCUUUGGCCACUGUGUUAAACAGUUGCUGAGCCAAGGAAUUAAAAACUUAAUAUCCCUUUGAUAGGCCACUGGGAUAACCUUAAAACUCUAGAGGAUAAGUAACUAGAGACCUGUGAAUGAAAAUCUAGAAAAGGGAUGUCCAUCAUAGGUUGAGGAUCAGGGAUGCUGCUAAUGACAGUAGCAAAUAGCUUUGGGUAGCUGCUAGUACAGACUUGGGAAAAACAGUUGGUUGCAUCCCUGUAGAAGGACAAAAUUCUGUAGAGAUCUUAAGGUUCUCAAAUAGGAUCAAGGAUUGCUACAAAAGGGUAGCAGUGAGUAGUAGAUAUAGCAGUUAGUACCAACCUUAAUCGAGUAGCUGUUGUACUUGGCAACAUCAAGUAAGUAACUGCAGUGCCAUUUUGGCAACUGAGUGACCUUACUGGCUUUAAUUUUUGUUGUGCUGUUAAUAGGUUAAAAAGUGUAGCCAAGUUGGAGACAUAUUGCUGCCCAAGGACAGUAACUAUCACCCAUACCAGUAGGCCAUUAAGCACCUCCUAUAAAGGGUCUUAGAUUGUCCAAUAGGGUGAAGUUAUAUGAAUGAUAUAUGUUAUGUCAACUGAUAGCUAACUUGAGAGUGAAAAUAUGAUAAAAAGGGAAUCAUGGGACUGCUAACAGUCAUCAAUAGAAGUGGCCUCAACUAAUUGCUAUUGCAGUGUUCAGCUUGCCAAACUCAGUUGAAGCUGAGAAUAAUUAAAUUCCUUAUUGUCCAACCUUAAUGACUGUUAGCCUCAUGAAAUAUUAUAAAUUCAGGGUAAAGCUUAGAGGAACAUGGAUUGGUAAAGAAGAUAGAGCUUCUGCCUUUAAGCAAUAGCAGUUCAUAACUGCUAUGAUAGUUUAGAUAGUCGAUUGGUAUUGAAAAUAAAAUUUGAAGAAAUAUGACAUAUAAUGUAAUUUUAAUUACCAAAGUAACCUUGUACACAAAGCCUGACUAAGCCCCAAAUGGCUAACCAAAGCUUGAUUGCCACAAUAGGUCAAGUUGGGACUGUUUUGGCAUAGAGAGGAAAAUUAAGAAUGUUACACUUUUGUAUACGAGAAUAAAGCUAUAAGGUGUUAUAAGAACUAUAAAUUACUCAAUCGAGUUGUGAAUAUUUUCAAAGGCAUAAAAUAAGUUACAAAAGCACCUUGUAUGCUAGAAUUUCUGUAAACAAGGCAUGAAACACUCAUGUGUUAAAAUCCUAAUAGGAUGUAAACUAUAUAUAUGUUGUGUGUGCAUGUUAUUAUCAUACUAGACCCCAUUAAAGAGAAAAAUGGUUAUGAUACGAACAUGGAUGAGAUAUUUGAAAAAUGUAUCAAAUAUAGGAAUCUAACUACAACCAUGAUCACUGAAACUAUGUGAUAUGUGAGCUUACAAACUAUAUAACUUGGCUAUUUGGCUAACAUGCUUGUUAAUGUAAAUAACUGUGUAGGAUUUGUGAGAACACUACAAUUAAGCUGAAUUCUUAACAAUAGACUACAAACAAGGCAAGUUUCUAAUUCUUACUCUUUAUUGAGCAAGUAUUCUACAAUGGACAGGUUUUUUAAUUUCUGAACUGUCUCUCAUUAUUUAUGAAUAAUAUAAGGCUAAAUAACCUUUUUAUUCCAAUCAGCUUCAAAAGAAUAGUAUAUUGAACUUCUCUCUUACAUAAGUUUAUAUUGAAAGUAUGUCAAUGCCAUUAUUUCGGUUAGACAACUGUUGAGAUACAUUGAUAUUAUUCAUGAAAAUAUCAUUUAAUGUUCUCCAAACCAUUUUGUUGUGGUGCGGACUCUUGUAUAAUGAUGUGAACGAACAACCCUUUUAUAGGGGCAUAUUGUACUGGACAUAUGAUUCUGAAGGACAUGUGAAGUGUCAUUAGACUGUUAUGUUGUGCACAAUGUAGGGUACUUAGGCUGAUCCCCUAAAGUACGAGUCUAGGAUAUAGAACAGCUUUUAUAACUGUUUGUAUCCAUGGAUUGCAUUAUUAUUACUAUCAAAUCUAGUACAGAGUUCACUAGUCAUUUGACCUUACAACAUGCUAAAGCCUGAUUUUCAGACUCAACACUCGUAAAGAAUUAUCAUGUUCGAUAUCUAUUAAAUUGUAUCCUCAUUGUUAUAAUAUUUAUGUUCCAUUAUAUUUAACUGCUUAUUUCCUUGCUGAGCAAGCUGUUGCUCACCCUUACGUUAAAUAUAAUAUUUUCAGUUAAAACUAAGGUUGUUGGACCAUCUGGGAAAGACAAAGGAAAAGGCAAAGUUGUUGAAUAGUCCUUUAUUAAGCGCAUGUGUUUAUUUGAACUUAAGUAGUGAAUAUAAUAAAUACUGUUAGCACUAUGUUGUGUAAUGAUAUUUGGAUUGUAAGUAUGUAAAGGUCUAUAGAACCUGGGAUUUAAGUUCAAUGCUUAUGUAAUAUAAGACGAUUUUCUUUUAGUAUGAAUGGGUAUAUUAGUAUCGUGAGCACCAAACCCGAGUUAAAGAUAACCCGGAUUUGGGGGCGUCACAUUGACAAAGUCAAAGACUAUACAUGUUAUACUGCUUAGGAAAGAAAAUUGAAGUUCAAAUCAAGAACUAUGCAUACAAAUGAAACAAUAAUUACUCCAACACAUCAAUACAAAUUAAGGUUCAACAAUGGGGUUAUUCUGCUUUAUUUU
Molecule: long non-coding RNA, 4982 nt
Filed under: Panax ginseng (ginseng)
Lineage: Eukaryota; Viridiplantae; Streptophyta; Magnoliopsida; Apiales; Araliaceae
Description: long non-coding RNA (PGIN_LNC004264)
Source: RNAcentral